RNAcentral lists this ribosomal RNA (254 nucleotides) under uncultured bacterium. RNAcentral's name for it is "partial 16S ribosomal RNA". It matches the Rfam family "Bacterial small subunit ribosomal RNA", at positions 524 to 776 of the family's 1533-position model. The record is from RNAcentral.
UACGUAGGGUGCGAGCGUUUAAUCGGAAUUACUGGGCGUAAAGCGUGCGCAGGCGGUGAUGUAAGACCGAUGUGAAAUCCCCGGGCUUAACCUGGGAACUGCAUUGGUGACUGCAUCGCUCGAGUAUGGCAGAGGGGGGUAGAAUUCCACGUGUAGCAGUGAAAUGCGUAGAGAUGUGGAGGAAUACCGAUGGCGAAGGCAGCCCCCUGGGUCAAUACUGACGCUCAUGCACGAAAGCGUGGGGAGCAAACAGG